This 80-nucleotide small nucleolar RNA is filed under the name Ipomoea nil (Japanese morning glory). RNAcentral describes it as "Small nucleolar RNA Z155". It matches the Rfam family "Small nucleolar RNA Z155". From Rfam's summary of the family: Z155 is a member of the C/D class of snoRNA which contain the C (UGAUGA) and D (CUGA) box motifs. The record is from Rfam by way of RNAcentral. Lineage: Eukaryota; Viridiplantae; Streptophyta; Magnoliopsida; Solanales; Convolvulaceae.
CAUCGAGGUGAGGAUAAUCGAUUCGGAAAAGAUAUAUGUCGAACCGGAAAUACUUCCAGACUACAAUUAUCUGAUCAAUG